This 424-nucleotide ribosomal RNA is filed under the name uncultured bacterium. RNAcentral describes it as "partial 16S ribosomal RNA". It matches the Rfam family "Bacterial small subunit ribosomal RNA", at positions 360 to 776 of the family's 1533-position model. The record is from RNAcentral.
AAUAUUGGACAAUGGGCGAAAGCCUGAUCCAGCCAUGCCGCGUGUGUGAAGAAGGUCUUCGGAUUGUAAAGCACUUUAAGUUGGGAGGAAGGGCAGUAAGUUAAUACCUUGCUGUUUUGACGUUACCGACAGAAUAAGCACCGGCUAACUUCGUGCCAGCAGCCGCGGUAAUACGAAGGGUGCAAGCGUUAAUCGGAAUUACUGGGCGUAAAGCGCGCGUAGGUGGUUUGUUAAGUUGGAAGUGAAAGCCCCGGGCUCAACCUGGGAACUGCUUUCAAAACUGUGCGGCUCGAGGGCGGUAGAGGAAGGUAGAAUUCCCGGUGUAGUGGUGAAAUGCGUAGAUAUAGGAAGGAACAUCAGUGGCGAAGGCGACUACCUGGACUGAUACUGACACUGAGGUGCGAAAGCGUGGGGAGCAAACAGG